UUAAGUUGAUCCUGGCUCAGAAUGAACGCUGGCGGCAUGGUUUAGGCAUGCAAGUCGUACGAGAAUCCCGCCUUCGGGCGGGAGGACAGUGGCGAAAGGGUGAGUAACACGUGAGUAUCUGCCUCCGGGUCGGGGACAGCCCGCGGAAACGCGGAUUAAUACCCGACGAACCCCUCGGGGUAAAGAGGAAUCGCCCGGAGAUGAGCUCGCGGNCCAUCAGCUGGUUGGCGGGGUAACGGCCCACCAAGGCGACGACGGGUAGGUGGUCUGAGAGGAUGGUCACCCACACUGGGACUGAGACACUGCCCAGACUCCUACGGGAGGCUGCAGUCGAGAAUCAUCCGCAAUGGGCGAAAGCCUGACGGUGCAAUGCCGCGUGGGGGAUGAAGGCCUUCGGGUCGUAAACCCCUGUCAGAAGGGACGAAGCAAGUGACGGUACCUUCAGAGGAAGCCACGGCUAACUACGUGCCAGCAGCCGCGGUAAUACGUAGGUGGCGAGCGUUAUUCGGAUUUACUGGGCGUAAAGGGUCCGCAGGGGGUUUGCCAAGUCCGGUGUGAAAGUCCAGGGCUCAAACCCUGGAACUGCGCCGGAUACUGGUGAACUGGAGUGCGCGAAGGGCAGGCGGAAUUCCUGGUGUAGCGGUGGAAUGCGUGGAUAUCAGGAAGAACACCGACGGCGAAAGCGGCCUGCUGGCGCGCCACUGACCCUCAUGGACGAAAGCGUGGGGAGCAAACAGGAUUAGAUACCCUGGUAGUCCACGCUGUAAACGGUGCAGACCCGAUGCGGGGGGCAGCCCCCUCCGUGUCCAAGCAACGCGUUAAGUCUGCCGNCUGGGGACUACGGUCGCAA
Molecule: ribosomal RNA, 850 nt
Filed under: uncultured organism
Description: bacterial SSU rRNA
Rfam family: Bacterial small subunit ribosomal RNA
Source: RNAcentral